GUGCUCGCUUCCACAGCACAUAGACUAAAACUGAAACAAUGCAGAGAAGAUUAGCAUAGCCCCUGUACAAGGAUGACACNCAAAUUCAUGAAGCGUUCCAUGUUAAA
Molecule: small nuclear RNA, 107 nt
Filed under: Salvator merianae (Argentine black and white tegu)
Lineage: Eukaryota; Metazoa; Chordata; Lepidosauria; Squamata; Teiidae
Source: RNAcentral